CACAAAAUGACUCUCGGCAACGGAUAUCUCGGCUCUUGCAUCGAUGAAGAACGCAGCGAAAUGCGAUACUUGGUGUGAAUUGCAGAAUCCCGUGAACCAUCGAGUCUUUGAACGCAAGUUGCGCCCGAAGCCAUUAGGUUGAGGGCACGCCUGCCUGGGUGUCACAAA
RNAcentral lists this ribosomal RNA (168 nucleotides) under Derris piscatoria. RNAcentral describes it as "5.8S ribosomal RNA". It matches the Rfam family "5.8S ribosomal RNA". From Rfam's summary of the family: 5.8S ribosomal RNA (5.8S rRNA) is a component of the large subunit of the eukaryotic ribosome. The record is from RNAcentral. Lineage: Eukaryota; Viridiplantae; Streptophyta; Magnoliopsida; Fabales; Fabaceae.